RNAcentral lists this ribosomal RNA (239 nucleotides) under uncultured Lactobacillus sp. Its description in RNAcentral is "partial 16S ribosomal RNA". It matches the Rfam family "Bacterial small subunit ribosomal RNA", at positions 122 to 354 of the family's 1533-position model. The record is from RNAcentral. Lineage: Bacteria; Bacillati; Bacillota; Bacilli; Lactobacillales; Lactobacillaceae.
UAACCUGCCCAAGAGAUCGGGAUAACACCUGGAAACAGAUGCUAAUACCGGAUAACAACAGAUGAUGCCUAUCAACUGUUUAAAAGAUGGUUCUGCUAUCACUCUUGGAUGGACCUGCGGUGCAUUAGCUAGUUGGUAGGGUAACGGCCUACCAAGGCGAUGAUGCAUAGCCGAGUUGAGAGACUGAUCGGCCACAUUGGGACUGAGACACGGCCCAAACUCCUAGGGAGGCAGCAGAG